RNAcentral lists this ribosomal RNA (468 nucleotides) under uncultured bacterium. Its description in RNAcentral is "partial 16S ribosomal RNA". It matches the Rfam family "Bacterial small subunit ribosomal RNA", at positions 28 to 507 of the family's 1533-position model. The record is from RNAcentral.
GACGAACGCUGGCGGCGUGCUUAACACAUGCAAGUCGAACGGAAACGCCCUGCCUUGGUGGGGUGCUCGAGGGGCGAACGGGGGAGUUACACGUGAGUUACCUGCCCUUGACUUUGGGUUAACUUCAUGAAACUGGGUCUAAUACGGGAUAGGAUCUCCUGCUGCUGGGUGGGGGUUGGAAGGUUUCGGCGGUUGGGGAUGGACUCGCGUCCUAUCGGCUUGUUGGUGUGGUGGUGUCUUAGCAAGGCUUGGACGGGUAGCCGGCCUGGGCGGGUGACCGGCCACGUUGGGACUGGGCUGCGGCCCAGCCUCCUCCCGGAGGCAGCAGUGCAGUAUAGUGUACUAUGGGCGGAACCCUGGUGUAGCCCCGCCGCGUGGGGGAUGACGGCCUUCGCGUUGUGUUCCGCUUUCGCCUUUGCCGAAGCGUGAAUGACGGUACUGGGUAAAGAAGCACCGGCUAACUACGUG